This 69-nucleotide transfer RNA is filed under the name Ictidomys tridecemlineatus (thirteen-lined ground squirrel). RNAcentral describes it as "Spermophilus tridecemlineatus (thirteen-lined ground squirrel) tRNA". It matches the Rfam family "tRNA". From Rfam's summary of the family: Transfer RNA (tRNA) molecules are approximately 80 nucleotides in length. Their secondary structure includes four short double-helical elements and three loops (D, anti-codon, and T loops). The record is from Rfam by way of RNAcentral. Lineage: Eukaryota; Metazoa; Chordata; Mammalia; Rodentia; Sciuridae.
GGGGCUGUGGCUCUGUGAUAGAGCACUUGCCUAGCAUGUAUGAGGCACUGGGUUCAAUUCUCAGCACCA